This 631-nucleotide long non-coding RNA is filed under the name Carica papaya (papaya). RNAcentral's name for it is "long non-coding RNA (CPAP_LNC006559)". The record is from RNAcentral. Lineage: Eukaryota; Viridiplantae; Streptophyta; Magnoliopsida; Brassicales; Caricaceae.
AAUAGAACGGUGAACACAUCGGUAAAAAAAUUACAUGAAACGGGAAACAGAAAGGGGUUCAUCGGAGGAGAUUCCAGGUUUUGCCCGCGGCAGCACUGCAGAGCUUCGCCCACAAUUUUUAGCUCAACCACCAUCAUUUUUGCUCUGAUUUGGCGAUAGAUGUGCUUGAAAUCAAACUUCAAGUGAAUAGGAGAAUUUUUACUUCUUUUGGCGAUUGGAGGUGGCUCCGGUGCGGUAGCAGUCGAUGGUCGGCUUCCUUCUUCGGCGACUGAUUUUUCUUCUUUGGUGGGAGGCUGGUGGAUAGGGUUUGGGUUCAAUGUGAUGCAAAAUAUUUAUACCCAUCUUACGUUAAUCUAGAACAUUCAUUGUAUUUGAUCUCGACCGUCCAAUUGCAUUUAAAGAAAAAAUAAAUUUAGAUCGUUUAUCGUGAUUUGAUCUCGACCGUCCAAUAUCGUUUAAGGGAGGAACAAAUUCAGGUCAUCCACGCGCACGAGAUCAAUCUGGACCUUUCGAUCCUGGGGCACGCAAAUCACUCGCAUUGCAUCUUGCAUGGCAUCGAUGUCAGCGUGCCUUACCAAGCAGCAUGCUCCGGUUCGUGGGAGUUGCUGUGUAACACAAAAAAUUAUUUUUU